This 422-nucleotide ribosomal RNA is filed under the name uncultured Ruminococcus sp. RNAcentral's name for it is "bacterial SSU rRNA". It matches the Rfam family "Bacterial small subunit ribosomal RNA", at positions 355 to 794 of the family's 1533-position model. The record is from RNAcentral. Lineage: Bacteria; Bacillati; Bacillota; Clostridia; Eubacteriales; Oscillospiraceae.
UGGGGAAUAUUGCACAAUGGGGGGAACCCUGAUGCAGCGAUGCCGCGUGGAGGAAGAAGGUUUUCGGAUUGUAAACUCCUGUCUUAAGGGACGAUAAUGACGGUACCUUAGGAGGAAGCUCCGGCUAACUACGUGCCAGCAGCCGCGGUAAUACGUAGGGAGCGAGCGUUGUCCGGAAUUACUGGGUGUAAAGGGAGCGUAGGCGGGAUUGCAAGUCAGAUGUGAAAACUAUGGGCUUAACCCAUAGACUGCAUUUGAAACUGUAGUUCUUGAGUGAAGUAGAGGUAAGCGGAAUUCCUAGUGUAGCGGUGAAAUGCGUAGAUAUUAGGAGGAACAUCGGUGGCGAAGGCGGCUUACUGGGCUUUUACUGACGCUGAGGCUCGAAAGCGUGGGGAGCAAACAGGAUUAGAUACCCUGGUAGU